CCGUUCCCAUGCGAUCACCGAAGUUAAGCAACAUCGAACCUGGUCAGUACCUAGAUGGUUGACCCUUUGGGAAUACCAGGUGCU
Molecule: non-coding RNA, 84 nt
Organism: Acanthosepion pharaonis
Lineage: Eukaryota; Metazoa; Mollusca; Cephalopoda; Sepiida; Sepiidae
Source: the annotation of a GenBank genome assembly